Molecule: long non-coding RNA, 340 nt
Filed under: Pan troglodytes (chimpanzee)
Lineage: Eukaryota; Metazoa; Chordata; Mammalia; Primates; Hominidae
Description: long non-coding RNA NONPTRT017577
Source: RNAcentral
GGAAAAGUGUGAUCUUCCAAAUCCUCCACAGACAUCGCCAGAUCUGAAGUUCCCAGAAAAGAGACUGGUGUGUGCUAAGGCAUAAAGGUGUGAAAUAGCAUUUGCGGCAUAUGCACUUGGAAAGCAGUAACCUCCAAAUAAUAUGUUCUUAUAAAGUGUGAGGCUGGAAAUGAUAAGAGAUGAGGCCAAGGAGUCAGGCCACGUCUCACCCACCUGCCAAGAAGCAGAUAUUGCCUAACAGACUGUGGAUUCUUGCUCAUUGGCCAAGUCAACAGCCUAAAGGACCUUACUCUCAAAAAUUUAGGUAAAAGUUAAUCUUUGACUUAGAGGGACAACAUUU